AUUGAACGCUGGCUGCAGGCCUAACACAUGCAAGUCGAACGAGUGGCGGACGGGUGAGUAAUGUCUGGGAAACUGCCUGAUGGAGGGGGAUAACUACUGGAAACGGUAUCUAAUACCGCAUACCAUCGGAUGUUCCCAGAUGGGAUUAGCGAGUAGGUGGGGUAUAGGCCCACCUAGGCGACGAUCCCUAGCUGGUCUGAGAGGAUGACCAGACACACUGGAACUGAGACACGGUCCAGACUCCUACGGGAGGCAGCAGUGGGGAAUAUAGCACAAUGGGCGCAAGCCUGAUGCAGCCAUGCCGCGUGUAUGAAGAAGGCCUGCGGGUUGUAAAGUACUUUCAGCGGGGAGGCGUGACCCGCAGAAGAAGCACAGGCUAACUCCGUGCCAGCAGCCGCGGUAAUAC
Molecule: ribosomal RNA, 406 nt
Filed under: uncultured bacterium
Lineage: Bacteria
Description: partial 16S ribosomal RNA
Rfam family: Bacterial small subunit ribosomal RNA
Source: RNAcentral